GCUCCGGAGCUGACCCUGGAUGACUGACUACUGACCCUGGACCCUCCCCAGAAAUGCUCUCUUGGACUUGGGGGGCCUGGCAACCUCGCACACCCUUGCACAAAAGGCUGCGCCCCCACUCCGUGUUGAACCUACACAUAAGGAGUCCAGUGCUGGGCACAGGUUGGCCCUGGCACAUGGUUGCUGACUGAGUGUCCGGAUGAAUUGAACCCUCUCCUUGGACCCUUUGUGGGAAGGGCUAGGCGGGAGACCUCAUCUCAACCCCGGUCUCUGGGGAAGAUCAAUCCCAAGGAACCACUUACAGUCUGGGGAGUCGGAUCCAUUAACACGUGCCAAGUGCCCAGGGGCUCAGGGAGG
This is a non-coding RNA of Oryctolagus cuniculus (rabbit), 357 nucleotides long. The record is from RefSeq and is a predicted model, not a curated record. NCBI's taxonomy places the organism in Eukaryota, Metazoa, Chordata, Mammalia, Lagomorpha, Leporidae.